CUGGAACUGAGACACGGGACCAGACUUCUACGGAAGGCAGCAGUGAGGAAUAUUGGUCAAUGGAGGAAACUCUGAACCCAGCUAUGUCGCGUGUAAGGAUGACAGUCUUUUAGACUGUAAACUACUUUUUACAUAGGAAUAAAAGUUACUACGGGAUGGUAACCUGAAGGUCUUCAUGCGAAUAAGUGUCGGCUAAUUUCGUGCCAGCAGCCGCGGUAAUACGAAAGACACAAGCGUUAUCCGGAUUUAUUGGGUUUAAAGGGUGUGUACGUUGUUUAUUAAGUCAGUAGUGAAAGCUUACAGCUUAACUGUAAAAUUGCUAUUGAUACUGAUAAUCUUCCCGUAAGAUUGGAGCAUCUGGAAUGUAUGGUGUAGCGGUGAAAUGCAUAGAUAUCAUACAGAACACCAAUAGCGAAGGCAGGAUGCUAAAUCUUCACUGACGCUGAGGCACGAAAGCGUGGGUAGCAAACAGGAUUAGAUACCCUGGUAGUCUACGCCCUAAACGAUGAUCACUAGCUAUUGGAAAAAUUAUAUUCAGUGGCCAAGCUAAAGCGAUAAGUGAUCCACCUGGGAAGUACGAUCGCAAGAUUGAAACUCAAAGGAAUUGACGGGGUUUCGCACAAGCGGUGGAGCAUGUGGUUUAAUUCGAUGAUACGCGAGGAACCUUACCAAGGUUUAAAUGUAUUACGAAUAAGCUGGAAACAACUUAGUCUAUAAGACGUAAUACAAGGUGCUGCAUGGUUGUCUUCAGUUCGUGCUGUGAAGUGUUUGGUUAAGUCCUAUAACGAGCGCAACCCCUAUUGUUAGUUGCCAUCGGGUAAAGCCGGGGACUCUAACAAAACUGCCGGUGUAAAUCGUGAGGAAGGUG
RNAcentral lists this ribosomal RNA (868 nucleotides) under Candidatus Uzinura diaspidicola. Its description in RNAcentral is "bacterial SSU rRNA". It matches the Rfam family "Bacterial small subunit ribosomal RNA", at positions 313 to 1175 of the family's 1533-position model. Lineage: Bacteria; Pseudomonadati; Bacteroidota; Flavobacteriia; Flavobacteriales. The record is from RNAcentral.